UUGGCGACGUCGACCUCUUCGCUCUGCUGGUAAAGUUUACCGACGGCUUCGCUGAUGGCGGGGUGCCAGGUGACGGCGCGGUUAACGGCUUCGCCGAGCUGGAGCGUGCCGGGUGCGGCGUUCCCGACCACCGGCGCGACGCGGCCGCUUAAUGAAGGUAGCUCCUGUGAUUCGCUCAAUUCUCCUGUAUUAAUCAUCGCGGCGGAACUGGCAGCGAUAGCGGGCACAGAUAUCAGGCAGCACGAGAGCCACCAGUAAGGCAUCUUUAUUCCCAUGUCUUAUCCCUAAUAAAAAAGUACUGCUUUAUUGUUUAUGCCCGGGCGCUGUGCGCCCGGGUCAUU
RNAcentral lists this small RNA (341 nucleotides) under Enterobacter cancerogenus. Its description in RNAcentral is "isrL Hfq binding RNA". It matches the Rfam family "isrL Hfq binding RNA". Lineage: Bacteria; Pseudomonadati; Pseudomonadota; Gammaproteobacteria; Enterobacterales; Enterobacteriaceae. The record is from RNAcentral.